GAUGAACGCUGGCGGCGUGCCUAAUACAUGCAAGUCGAGCGAACAGACGAGGAUCUUGCUCCUCUGACGUUACCGGCGGACGGGUGAGUAACACGUGGAUAACCUACCUCUACGACUGGGACAACUUCGGGAAACCGGAGUUCAUACCGGAAACCAUAUUGAACCUGAUGGUUCAAUAGUUAAAUCGGGUUUUGCUGUGAUUUCUACCUGGCACCGCGUCGGAUUGGUUAGUUGGUAAGGUAACAGCUUACCAAGGCAACGAUGCGUAGCCGACCUGCGAGGGUGAACGGCCACACUGGAACUGAGACACGGUCCAGACUCCGACGGGAGGCAGCAGUAGGGAAUCUACCGCAAUGGGCGAAAGCCUGACGGAGCAGCGCCACGUGAGUGAAGAGGGUCUUCGGAGCGGAAAACUCUGUUAUGAUUGAAGAACAAAUGUGUAAGUAACUAUGCACGUCUUGACGGUACCUAAUCAGAAAGCCACGGCUAACUACGUG
This 497-nucleotide ribosomal RNA is filed under the name uncultured bacterium. Its description in RNAcentral is "partial 16S ribosomal RNA". It matches the Rfam family "Bacterial small subunit ribosomal RNA", at positions 28 to 507 of the family's 1533-position model. The record is from RNAcentral.